This 235-nucleotide long non-coding RNA is filed under the name Physcomitrium patens. RNAcentral's name for it is "long non-coding RNA (PPAT_LNC013278)". The record is from RNAcentral. Lineage: Eukaryota; Viridiplantae; Streptophyta; Bryopsida; Funariales; Funariaceae.
CCUCCGAGUAUACUGAAAUCAUUCAGUUUUUGAUAUUCUAGACUUUUCCGCCAACUUUCACCGAGAAGCUUAAGAAGCGACUCAUUUUGAAGAGUGCCUCGUACAUGAUGAUUUGCAAUGCUUUGUAUAAACAAGGCAAAGAUGGCAUUUUAAGACGUUGUAUCUUUCAAAGUGAAGUACAAUCGAUACUAGAAGAUUACAAUUUGGAUAGUUGUGGUAGACAGUUUGCGAGCGA